This 339-nucleotide ribosomal RNA is filed under the name Diplacanthus brevispinus. RNAcentral's name for it is "partial 16S ribosomal RNA". It matches the Rfam family "Bacterial large subunit ribosomal RNA", at positions 1948 to 2539 of the family's 2925-position model. The record is from RNAcentral. Lineage: Eukaryota; Metazoa; Arthropoda; Malacostraca; Amphipoda; Acanthogammaridae.
GUGCUAAGGUAGCAUAGUCAUUUGCUUCUUAAUUGGGAGCUGGUAUGAACGGUUGAACUAGGCAAGUAGGUGUGUUAGUUUAAAUAGAAGAUUAAAGUUAAAGUAAGAAUUCUUUAAUAUCUUAGGGGACGAUAAGACCCUAUAAGCUUGAUAAGUAUAGAUAUGAUUUUGUGGUUUAAGUUACGCUAUUUUACUGGGGCGGUAUUGGUGUUUAAACUAUCAACUAAAUUAAGAUCCUUAAAAUAUAGAUGAAACGGAUAAGUUACUUUAGGGGUAACAGUGCAAUAUUUUUGGAGAGCUCUUAUCGAUACAUAUGCUUGCAACCUCGAUGUUGAAUUA